Molecule: ribosomal RNA, 439 nt
Filed under: uncultured bacterium
Lineage: Bacteria
Description: partial 16S ribosomal RNA
Rfam family: Bacterial small subunit ribosomal RNA
Source: RNAcentral
CUACGGGCCGCUCCAGUGAGGAAUAUUGCACAAUGGGGGGAACCCUGAUGCAGCAACGCCGCGUGGAGGAUGACGCAUUUCGGUGUGUAAACUCCUUUUAUAUGUCAAGAAAAUGACGGUAGCAUAUGAAUAAGCACCGGCUAACUCCGUGCCAGCAGCCGCGGUAAUACGGAGGGUGCAAGCGUUACUCGGAAUCACUGGGCGUAAAGGACGCGUAGGCGGGUUGGAAAGUCAGGUGUGGAAUCCUACAGCUUAACUGUAGAACUGCACUUGAAACUUCUAAUCUAGAGUAUGGGAGGGGGAGAUGGAAUUAGUGGUGUAGGGGUAAGAUCCGUAGAUAUCACUAGGAAUACCUAAAGCGAAGGCGAUCUCCUGGAACAUUACUGACGCUAAGGCGUGAAAGCGUGGGGAGCAAACAGGAUUAGAUACCCCCGUAGUC